This 323-nucleotide ribosomal RNA is filed under the name uncultured eukaryote. RNAcentral describes it as "partial 18S ribosomal RNA". It matches the Rfam family "Eukaryotic small subunit ribosomal RNA", at positions 1470 to 1796 of the family's 1831-position model. The record is from RNAcentral.
CCCUUAGACGUUCUGGGCCGCACGCGCGCUACACUGACCAGUGCAACAAGCAUCCGUCCUUGGCCGACAGGCUCGGGCAAUCUUUGAACGCUGGUCGUGAUGGGGAUAGACUUUUGCAAUUUUUGGUCUUCAACGAGGAAUUCCUAGUAAACGCAAGUCAUCAACUUGCAUUGAUUACGUCCCUGCCCUUUGUACACACCGCCCGUCGCUCCUACCGAUGGGGUGAUCCGGUGAAUGAUUCGGACUUCCGCAGUGCUAGCUACUAGCUUUGUGGAAGAAAGUCUUGUGAACCUUAUCACUUGGAGGAAGGAGAAGUCGUAACA